Molecule: RNA transcript, 2624 nt
Organism: Homo sapiens (human)
Lineage: Eukaryota; Metazoa; Chordata; Mammalia; Primates; Hominidae
Gene: NBPF7P
Gene name: NBPF member 7, pseudogene
Exons: 10
Source: RefSeq, marked reviewed
AGAGUCUGAGCUACAGGCAGUGCCUUCAGCUCUGAGCUCAGGCACCUCGAACCUUGUUUUUGUGGUGAAGGAUCUUAAAGUGCUGUGGGGAGUGAUCACGUUUUUCUCAACAUCCCUGGCUCCACCUCUUCUGCCACAAACGUCACCAUGGUGGUAUCUGCCGGCCCCUGGUCCAGUGAGAAAGCAGAGAUGAACAUUCUAGAAAUCAAUGAGAAAUUGCGCCCCCAGCUGGCAGAGAACAAACAACAGUUCAGAAACAUGAAGCAGAAAUUUCUUGUAACUCAAAUGGCCGGCUUCCUGGCCAACCAGCAGAACAAAUACAAGUAUGAGGAGUGCAAAGACCUCAUAAAAUCUAUGCUGAGGGAAGAGCUGCAGUUCAAGGAGGAGAAGCUUGCAGAGCAGCUCAAGCAAGCUGAGGAGCUCAGGCAAUAUAAAGUCCUGGUUCACUCUCAGGAACGAGAGCUGAUCCAGUUAAGGGAGAAGUUACGGGAAGGGAGAGAUGCCUCCCACUCACUGAAUCAGCAUCUCCAGGCUCUUCUCACUCCGGAUAAGCAUGACAACUCCCAGGGGCAGGACUUCCGAGAACAGCUGGCUGAGGGGUGUAGGCUGGCACGGCACCUUGUCCACAAGCUCAGCCCAGAAAAUGACACAGAUGAGGAUGAAAAUGAUAAAACCAAGGAGCUUGAUAAAGUACAGGAAUCACCUGCUCCCAGGGAGGAGCAGAAGGCUGAAGAAAAGGAAGUCCCUGAGGACUCACUGGAGGAAUGUGCCAUCACUUAUUCAAAUAGCCAUGGCCCUUCUGACUCCAACCCGCCUCACAAGAACAUCAAAAUCACAUCUGAGGAAGACAAAGUCAACUCAAUUCUGGUUGUAGACAGUGAAUCUUCUCAAGAUGAAUGGCAGGAUGCUCUAAACAUUCUUCUGGAAAAUCAAAAUGAUGAUGAGGAAGAGGAAGGGAAAGCGCCAGUGCCCCCCCAGGUAACUCUGUGGAUUUGUGGGCUGAAGCUGCAGGAGUCUGAAGAGAAGGAAGUCCUGCAGGACUCCCCGGAGGAAAGGGUUACGACUUCUUGUAGUGACCAUGAUGUGUCCCAAUCUUACCAACCUUGUGAAGGCACUUUCUUGGCACUAGUUGAACAGAAAGUUUGCUCUGCUCAGGAUGUAGCCAGCGAACACUCCAAUUCCAAAGGGGAAGAAACUCCACUUGGCUUCCCAGAGCUGGGUUUAGAGCCUUCCCUUGCAAUGAAGAUCCCUCCCCAGCUGGAAGGUGAUGCUCUUGAAGGUUCAGCUGACAACACACAUGGGCAUCAAGUCAUUGGCCACAUUCACGCCUCAAGUGUCCUAAAACCAAAAAUGAUCAAAAGAAAACUGCCGUUCAGCAAGUGGAGACUGGCAUGCAGAUUCUCUGGCCUGCAAGCUUAGAGUAGGAAGAUACCAAAUACUGCUGGAAGGAUGAAAAGGAUGAAAGGAUGUCACAAAAAGUAGCUUUUCUGCUCGAUGAAAAAAACUACAACAGCAAACCAAGUUCAAUUCCAAACACAACACUGCAGGGCUCCUUCACUGAGGAUUGAAUUUUAGACACAGAAUGCUCUUGAUGAUUGCAAACCACUAGGCUCCUUUGAUUUGAGAAACCACAAUUCAUCCUAUUUCCACUUGAGAUGAAUACCCAAGGAGACCAAUUCCCAGAUGGACAAACAGCAUUGAGAGGCCUUAGCCCUGCUCCUCUCAAUUCCAUCCUGUAGAGAACAGGAGUCAGGAGCCGCUGGCAGGAGACAGCAUGUCACCCGGGACUCUGCCAGUGCAGAAUAUGAACAAUGCCAUAUUCUUGCGGAAAACACUUAGCCUGAGUUUCAUAGGAAGUAAUCAGCAGACAACUGCAGAAUGUAGAACACUGAGCAGGACAACUGACCGCUCUCCUUCACACAAUCCAUGUCACCACAAAUCACACAACAAAAAGAGAAGAGACAUUUUGGGUUCAAAAGGAUUGAAAAGAUAAUGUAGCUCACUUCUUUAGUCACUUUGAACCCAAAGUAUCUCCUCAUCUUUUUGUUGUUGUCAUUGAUGGUGGUGACAUGGAUUUGUUUGUAGAGGACGUCAGCUGUCUGGCUCAAUUUUCUUCAUUCUGAAGUUGUCAGAAAAUUUCCUUAUGAUUAAAUUCAGCCUAAAUGUUUUGCCAGGAACACUGCAAAGUCAAUGCUGUGAGUUUCCAACCUCAGUCCAUCUGCGGGCAGAGAAGGUCCAGUUUGUCCAUCACCAUUAUUGUGAUAUCAGGACUGGUUACCUGGUUAAGGAGGGGUCUAGGAGAUCUGUCCCUUGUAAAGACACCUGAUUUAUAAUUAAUUUGAAAAGUGGUUUGAAAAAGUACAAAUACCUGUAUUCUAACAAUCUUCCUCUGAGCAUUUUAUCAUCAAUUAAUCACCCCUGGCUGUGUCAGUUAUUAUAUUUAUGUUUGUACGUUGGAAAUUUUUAUCUCAGUCCUUAGUAUGAACUUGUUUCUGCUGGCAUUCUGUUGUGAAAAAGAAUAUUCCCUGCCCAAAUUUUAACUUUCAUCCAAGAUUAAUUUUAGUCUAUUAAAAUUAAAAUGUUUAUGUUUUAAAUCUGUUUAAUUAAAAUAUUCUUGCCUAUUA